This 458-nucleotide ribosomal RNA is filed under the name uncultured bacterium. Its description in RNAcentral is "partial 16S ribosomal RNA". It matches the Rfam family "Bacterial small subunit ribosomal RNA", at positions 338 to 795 of the family's 1533-position model. The record is from RNAcentral.
CCUACGGGAGGCAGCAGUGAGGAAUAUUGGUCAAUGGGCGAGAGCCUGAACCAGCCAAGUCGCGUGAGGGAGUACUGCCCUAUGGGUUGUAAACCUCUUUUGUCGGGGAGCAAAAGCCGGACGUGUCCGGCUGUGAGAGUACCCGAAGAAAAAGCAUCGGCUAACUCCGUGCCAGCAGCCGCGGUAAUACGGAGGAUGCGAGCGUUAUCCGGAUUUAUUGGGGUUAAAGGGUGCGCAGGCGGAUUUUUAAGUCAGCGGUCAAAUCGUGGGGCUCAACCCCAUCCAGCCGUUGAAACUGGGGAUCUAGAGUGUGCGAGAGGUAUGCGGAAUGCGUGGUGUAGCGGUGAAAUGCAUAGAUAUCACGCAGAACUCCGAUUGCGAAGGCAGCAUACCGGCGCCCAACUGACGCUGAAGCACGAAAGCGUGGGUAUCGAACAGGAUUAGAUACCCCUGUAGUC